UCGUGGUCACGCCGCACGCUGUGGUUUGAAGUUAUUAGUGUUUGUGUAAUGUGUAUCAAGUUUUUUUAGAUUGAUGGUAGAUUUUAGGUAAUUUGUUAUUAUUAUUUUUGUGGACAAUAUUUGCUUUUUGUAGCAGGUGUUUUUGUGUUUUUGGUGAUUAAGGAGCAAUAUUUGACAAACAGUCAGGACUUGGCUCAUCUGGCACUUUUAAUAAUUUACCAUCAGUGUUAGAAAAUAUUGAAAAGCCAUCCAGGAAAAGCAAUAUUGAUAAUAUACACUUUGCUGCUAUUGAAGAUGUACCCGUCAAUCUCGAUAGAGACGCUGAUGGAACUGCAAACUUAAUAUUAUUGUUGGAUGGAUUGUUUGACAGUUUAAAUUCCAGUAGAAAGUUUGGCUCACCGGGGAAACCGCUAAAAGGAGGUGUAUCAACCGGAACUGAUCAUAUAACAUAUUGGUAUAAUACUAUUAAAAUUUUAUCAACCAUGAAGUUUAAAACAAUUGAUGAUACCUCAGAAAAAUUUGUUGUGGUACGUACCAUCCUUAAAGAAUUUAAUAUUAACUUUAAAAGGUAUGAUCUACCUAUGUCAAAAAAUAUUUAGUAUUAGUCCAAAAUCAUAUGUAUUAACUAGGGUUAUUCAGCAGAAUGCAUUGGAGAAUUUUUUUUUCUUUAUUAGAGGGUAUAGUGGUAGAGAAAAUUCUCCAAGCGUAAAUCAUUUUAUUUCCUCCUUUAAAGCUCUACUAACAAAUCAUUUCAUGUCGAGUCAUUCGCCUGGAGCGAAUUGCGAGGAAGAUGAAAAUGAUGGACCCUUGGAGAAUUUAAAAGAUUUUCUUUUACAAGAUAAUUCGGAAAACAUUUCAAACUCAAAUAGACCAUGAGCAUUAAUCUUAAAAGUGUUCCUCCUGCUCCAAGACGAUCAAAAAUCUCACGAUGUGUCUACAAAUAUAUUUCUGGUUUUAUUUUGAGAAAGAUGAAAAAACUUAUUAAGUGUAAUUUUUGUAAAAGGAAUAUGUCAUCUAUUGACCUAAUGACAGAUCUUGAUUUUAUUGAAGCUAGGCAAUAUAAAAAUUGCAAUUUGACAGUUCCGGGAACAUAUUUUAACUUUCUGGUAAGCCAAGCGAUACCACGACUUUUUUAUUUAAUUCCGAGGGUUUGCCAUGUGACAAACAUUUCUAAAGUUUUGCAAGAAAUUAUUUCUAAAGAACUGCACACGUCUUUAUUAAAUUGUGCGUUGCAUGAAAAUACCGAUAAAAUAUUUUUAAAAUAUAUCGUUAGAUGUUGCUUGUUUUUUUGGUGUAAAAAAAUAAUUUUAAUAUCAAAAGGCAAAGAUGCGAAAUUUGUUAGGUAUUUCAGAACUACACCCAAAGAUCUAAUAGACCCCAUUAAAAUUAAUGCAUAUAAAAAAAAUUUAAAAAAGAAAAAAAUGUAAAAACAUAAAUAACAUUUUCUAUACAUACCAGGUGUUAACAGGCAUUUCUUUAAGUAAUUUUAAGACGAGAUUUUAAAGUCCAAAUAUUUGUUUUUUCGUGAUUAUUUUAAAUAUCAUAUAUCCAAUUUUGCUGUCAUUUGACAUUACAAUCAAUUAUACUAUAAUAUAGUAAGAUUAAGAUUAUAGUAAGAUUUUCAUUUAGUACCUAGUUGGAUUAAUUUUGUAAAGGUUAAUGGUUAAUGGUGUCCCUAGCGAUACCUAAACAACUAUUUUUAACCAAAAAAAUGCACGCCACUGACCUUUAUGGAUUUUUAAAAGCCUUUUUAGAUAAAUCAAUUAAAAAUACAGCUUUUUUUUCUUAAUUUUUUUUGUAUCUUGCUUAGUUUUCGUGAAAAAAAAAUUAAAUGCACCUAAUUUCAUGUGUAAAUUGUCUUUGCCCUAUAGACCACACAAUAACAUUUUUUUGAGAAAAAAAAAGAAAGGUUUUUCCCAUGUGUCUUGUUUAGUUUAGAGAAUGCAAUUAAACACAAUUUAUUUAUUUUUUCUCGAAAGCAGGAAAAAAUUCGAGUGACAAAAAAGCUGUAUUUUUAAUUGAGUCUUUUUAAGUCUCAAAAAUAGCCAUUUAGGUACCACUAGGACAAAGACAAUUUAUAUAAAGGGUGUCCCACAAAAAAAUGCGGCGAAAAAAAAUUUAAAAACAUUUUGAUAGGUGACUUUGCUAACAUGUACCUCAACUGAUAGGUAUUAAAAAGUUAAGAUAAGGAAAGUGCAAUUCGUUUUUUUCAAUUUAGGUCAAUUUAUGAUUAAAAUUUCCAUCCAGAUUCCUCCUUCAGAAAAAAUAUUGUACGUAACACAAUCCAAAAGUGAUUUUAUUUACUAAUAUUUCAUUCUUCUGCAAACCUUUACGUUUUAUAUAUAUACUUAGGCAUACAAUAUAAGUUUAUAUUUUUACUAAAACAUAAAGUAGUUAAAAAAUUGCUCUUUCUGUACAUUAUCUUUCAUUUAAAUGUGUUUUUUAUUAAAUAAUAUCACAGAUAAAGUAUUAUGUAAUAUAAUAUGUAUUUCCACAUUGUUACUUAUUUAAAUAAGUUAUUUACUACUCUCUCGCAUUUACACAAUACUCGUAAUGUUGGAAAUUUUAGGAUACCUCAACAUAAAACAAGUAACUUCUACAAGUCAUUUUCGGUUGUCGGAGUUACAAUGUGGAAUAACUUGCCAAAUAAUAUUAAAGAUUUGUCAUUUAAUAAAUUUUACACUAAGGUUAAGCAAAUUCUUCUCGACUCCCAACGAGAUGCUUAGUAAUAUGACUAGUAGUAGAUACAUAGUAGUAUAAACUGCCAAAUCAACUAAGACCAAAGAUAAGCUGGCCUGUCCAAUCUUUCUUUUGUGGUUCUUUUUUGUCUAUUCUUGUUACCUUCCGUCGCAUGCCAGCCAAAUUGCUUUGCCAUUUUUUGUUUCUGCCCUUUUUAGUUUUAGUUUUGUUCUUUUUUAAGUUAAUUAGGAUUUUUUUUUGUGUUUAUUUAUAAUGUUUUCAAGGCCUGUUUCACGCAAAUUGCGCUAUCGGUUUUAUAUAAUCGCGAAGCAGUUCCUUUUACCAAAAAUUGUCAAUUUUAUUUUCUCAUGUAGCUAAUUAUAUUUAUAACUAUUUUUUUGGUAAUAAACUUUUCUGACUUUGACAUAGACUUGCUGUAUAUUAUGUAUGUGUAAAA
This 3136-nucleotide long non-coding RNA is filed under the name Anthonomus grandis grandis. RNAcentral describes it as "uncharacterized LOC126743236". Lineage: Eukaryota; Metazoa; Arthropoda; Insecta; Coleoptera; Curculionidae. The record is from RNAcentral.